GAAAAAUGUGUUGCGAAGGCGACUGCCGGCCGCUGGGGUGGCUGCUGGGCCUCCCCUUCGCCUUCCUCGCCCUCAUCGUCUCCAUCGUCGGCGUUAUUAUCUGGAUCGUCGGAUUGUUGCUGUCGUGCAUCUGCCCGUGUUGUUUAUGUGUGACGAUCGUGGUGGAGCUGGCGAUCGAGCUCAUCAAGGCGCCGAUACACGUCAUGGAGUGGUUCACCAAACAGAUUCCGUGCUAGAGCUAGUAAUUCCCUUUCUUCUCCUCUUCAAUUUUAGGGUUUGUGUUUAUGUUUUUUUAGCUAUGUAAUUGACUUUGU
Molecule: unclassified non-coding RNA, 314 nt
Filed under: Hevea brasiliensis (rubber tree)
Lineage: Eukaryota; Viridiplantae; Streptophyta; Magnoliopsida; Malpighiales; Euphorbiaceae
Source: RNAcentral